RNAcentral lists this ribosomal RNA (492 nucleotides) under uncultured bacterium. RNAcentral describes it as "partial 16S ribosomal RNA". It matches the Rfam family "Bacterial small subunit ribosomal RNA", at positions 29 to 507 of the family's 1533-position model. The record is from RNAcentral.
AGUGAACGCUGGCGGUAGGCCUAACACAUGCAAGUCGAGCGGCAGCACAGUAAGAGCUUGCUCUUACUGGUGGCGAGUGGCGGACGGGUGAGGAAUACAUCGGAAUCUACUUUUUCUUGGGGGAUAACGUAGGGAAACUUACGCUAAUACCGCAUACUACCUACGGGUGAAAGCAGGGGUUCUUCGGACCUUGCGCGAUUGAAUGAGCCGAUGUCGGAUUAGCUAGUUGGCUGGGUAAAGGCCCACCAAGGCGACGAUCCGUAGCUGGUCUGAGAGGAUGAUCAGCCACACUGGAACUGAGACACGGUCCAGACUCCUACGGGAGGCAGCAGUGGGGAAUAUUCGGCAAUGGGCGAAAGCCUGACGCAGCCAUACCGCGUGAGUGAAGAAGGCCUUCGGGUUGUAAAGCUCUUUUGUUGGGAAAGAAAAGAAGCAGGUGAAUACCCCGAUGUUCUGACGGUACCCAAAGAAUAAGCACCGGCUAACUUCGUG